This 468-nucleotide ribosomal RNA is filed under the name uncultured bacterium. RNAcentral's name for it is "partial 16S ribosomal RNA". It matches the Rfam family "Bacterial small subunit ribosomal RNA", at positions 28 to 507 of the family's 1533-position model. The record is from RNAcentral.
GACGAACGCUGGCGGCGUGCUUAACGCAUGCAAGUCGAACGGAAAGGCCCUGCUUUUGUGGGGUGCUCGAGUGGCGAACGGGUGAGUAACACGUGAGUAACCUGCCCUUGACUUUGGGAUAACUUCAGGAAACUGGGGCUAAUACCGGAUAGGAGCUCCUUCUGCAUGGUGGGGGUUGGAAAGUUUCGGCGGUUGGGGAUGGACUCGCGGCUUAUCAGCUUGUUGGUGGGGUAGUGGCUUACCAAGGCUUUGACGGGUAGCCGGCCUGAGAGGGUGACCGGCCACAUUGGGACUGAGAUACGGCCCAGACUCCUACGGGAGGCAGCAGUGGGGAAUAUUGCACAAUGGGCGGAAGCCUGAUGCAGCAACGCCGCGUGCGGGAUGACGGCCUUCGGGUUGUAAACCGCUUUCGCCUGUGACGAAGAGUGAGUGACGGUAAUGGGUAAAGAAGCACCGGCUAACUACGUG